AAGUCAGAUGUGAAAGCCCGGGGCUCAACCUCGGAAUAGCAUUUGAAACUGGCAGACUAGAGUACUGUAGAGGGGGGUAGAAUUUCAGGKGKAGCGGUGAAAUGSGUAGAGAUCUGAAGGAAUACCGGUGGCGAAGGCGGCCCCCUGGACAGAUACUGACACUCAGAUGCGAAAGCGUGGGGAGCAAACAGGAUUAKAUACCCUGGUAGUCCACGCCGUAAACGAUGUCUACUUGGAGGUUGUGGCCUUGAGCCGUGGCUUUCGGAGCUAACGCGUUWAGUAGACCGCCUGGGGAGUACGGUCGCAAGAUUAAAACUCAAAUGAAUUGACGGGGGCCCGCACAAGCGGYGGAGCAUGUGGUUUAAUUCGAUGCAACGCGAAGAACCUUACCUACUCUUGACAUCCAGAGAACUUUCCAGAGAUGGAUUGGUGCCUUCGGGAACUCUGARACAGGUGCUGCAUGGCUGUCCKUCAGCUCGUGUUGUGAAAAUGUUGGGUUAAGUCCCCGCAACRAGCGCAACCCCUUAACCCUUGGUUUGMCARCGAGAAAUGGCGGGAAMUCCMRGGRARAAUGGCCGGUGAAAAACCGGAAGAAGGGGGGGACGACCGCCAKUCAUCUUGGGCCCUUACGAAUAAGGGUUACCC
This 645-nucleotide ribosomal RNA is filed under the name Vibrio sp. RNAcentral describes it as "partial 16S ribosomal RNA". It matches the Rfam family "Bacterial small subunit ribosomal RNA", at positions 585 to 1219 of the family's 1533-position model. The record is from RNAcentral. Lineage: Bacteria; Pseudomonadati; Pseudomonadota; Gammaproteobacteria; Vibrionales; Vibrionaceae.